UGGUGAACAAUAUAUAAUCUGAAAACAGGUGUAUCCUUAUUUCUUUUCUGAUUGAUUACUUCUUUUAUGUUAGUUUUAAAUUUUUUAUUUAUUUUGUUUUGUAGGCUUGGAGAAAUUUUAUCGUGUGGCUAACAAAUAAUAAUGUGAUGCUGUUUUCAAAGAUGUGGAUAGAAAAAAAAAACUUAACACUCUACUGCAGAAAAAGGUAUCAACAACUAUGAUAAUACAAAUUGGAUGGUGAUACAAAUGAUGUGAUGCUGCUUUCAAAGACAAAUAAACUAACACCGUAAUGAUGAAAAACAACUAUAAUGAUACAAAUUGUGUAUUUGCAAAUUUGUUUUUUUUUUCUUUUUUAUUUGUUUGUUAUGGUUUGGCAAUUUCACAAAUCUGUUUUUUUUUUAUAAUAAAAGAGCAUAUUCCACUAUCUUAAGAACUUUUUCGUAAGUUAUCUGAAAUUGACUAUUUUACAUACAUGUUUAUUAUUGUUUUAUUAUAUUAACCCUAGAAUAUUAUAGAAAUGACUUAUUAGAAUAUAGAUAAAACUGAAUAGAUCAAUUAUGCUAAUUUAAAUGUAAGAAUAUAUAUUGACAAAAAAGAAAAUAGUCUAAAACUGAUAAUUUAAAUGCAAACAAAAUUGACCCGUGCUUAGCACG
Molecule: long non-coding RNA, 653 nt
Filed under: Brassica rapa (field mustard)
Lineage: Eukaryota; Viridiplantae; Streptophyta; Magnoliopsida; Brassicales; Brassicaceae
Description: long non-coding RNA (BRAP_LNC005360)
Source: RNAcentral